Molecule: ribosomal RNA, 253 nt
Filed under: uncultured bacterium
Lineage: Bacteria
Description: partial 16S ribosomal RNA
Rfam family: Bacterial small subunit ribosomal RNA
Source: RNAcentral
UACGAAGGGGGCUAGCGUUGCUCGGAAUGACUGGGCGUAAAGGGCGCGUAGGCGGUUCAUACAGUCAGAUGUGAAAUUCCUGGGCUCAACCUGGGGGCUGCAUUUGAUACGUGUGGACUAGAGUGGGGAAGAGGGUCGUGGAAUUCCCAGUGUAGAGGUGAAAUUCGUAGAUAUUGGGAAGAACACCAGAGGCGAAAGCGGCGACCUGGACAGGUACUGACACUCAACUACGAAAGCGUGGGGAGCAAACAGG